RNAcentral lists this transfer RNA (82 nucleotides) under Knoellia subterranea KCTC 19937. It matches the Rfam family "tRNA". From Rfam's summary of the family: Transfer RNA (tRNA) molecules are approximately 80 nucleotides in length. The record is from Rfam by way of RNAcentral. Lineage: Bacteria; Bacillati; Actinomycetota; Actinomycetes; Micrococcales; Intrasporangiaceae.
GCGCGAGUGGUGGAACAGGCAGACACGCUGGGUUUAGGUCUCAGUGCCCUCGGGUGUGCGGGUUCGACUCCCGCCUCGCGCA